Molecule: ribosomal RNA, 429 nt
Filed under: Chloroflexota bacterium
Lineage: Bacteria; Bacillati; Chloroflexota
Description: Chloroflexi bacterium partial 16S ribosomal RNA
Rfam family: Bacterial small subunit ribosomal RNA
Source: RNAcentral
UGGGGAAUAUUGCACAAUGGGCGCAAGCCUGAUGCAGCCAUGCCGCGUGUAUGAAGAAGGCCUUCGGGUUGUAAAGUACUUUCAGCGGGGAGGAAGGGAGUAAAGUUAAUACCUUUGCUCAUUGACGUUACCCGCAGAAGAAGCACCGGCUAACUCCGUGCCAGCAGCCGCGGUAAUACGGAGGGUGCAAGCGUUAAUCGGAAUUACUGUGCGUAAAGCGCACGCAGGCGGUUGAUUGAGUCAGAUGUGAAAUCCCCGGGCUCAACCUGGGAGCUGCAGCUGAUACUGGCAAGCUUGAGUCUCGUAGAGGGGGGUAGAAUUCCAGGUAGAGCGGUGAAAUGCGUAGAGAUCUGGAGGAAUACCGGUGGCGAAGGCGGCCCCCUGGACGAAGACUGACGCUCAGGUGCGAAAGCGUGGGGAGCAAACAGG